RNAcentral lists this ribosomal RNA (505 nucleotides) under uncultured bacterium. Its description in RNAcentral is "bacterial SSU rRNA". It matches the Rfam family "Bacterial small subunit ribosomal RNA", at positions 40 to 518 of the family's 1533-position model. The record is from RNAcentral.
CGGCGUGCCUAAUACAUGCAAGUCGAACGGCUUUUCUAUGGAAGCUUGCUUCCACUGAGAAGAUAGUGGCGAACGGGUGAGUAACACGUGGGUAACCUGCCCAUAAGAGGGGGAUAACAUCCGGAAACGGGUGCUAAUACCGCAUAGUUUUCUUGAUCGCAUGAUCGGGAAAGGAAAGACGGCCUUUGUGCUGUCGCUUAUGGAUGGACCCGCGGCGUAUUAGUUAGUUGGUGAGGUAACGGCUCACCAAGACGAUGAUACGUAGCCGACCUGAGAGGGUGAUCGGCCACAUUGGGACUGAGACACGGCCCAAACUCCUACGGGAGGCAGCAGUAGGGAAUCUUCCGCAAUGGACGAAAGUCUGACGGAGCAACGCCGCGUGAGUGAAAGAAGGUUUUCGGAUCGUAAAACUCUGUUGUCAGAGAAGAACAAGUUGGAGAGUAACUGCUCCAGCCUUGACGGUAUCUGACCAGAAAGCCACGGCUAACUACGUGCCAGCCGCCGC